Molecule: long non-coding RNA, 739 nt
Organism: Salvelinus namaycush (lake trout)
Lineage: Eukaryota; Metazoa; Chordata; Actinopteri; Salmoniformes; Salmonidae
Exons: 5
Source: RefSeq, a predicted model, not a curated record
CAGACUCACCUGUACCCAGCUGUGCGUCCAUGAAGAGUGACCAGUCUAUGGAUCCACCUAUCGUGUCCAGAGAGAGAACCUCUUCUACUAAACUAAAGGCCCAUCAGAAGAGACCAGUCUCACCUGCACACAGCUGUGUGUCCAUGAAGAGUGACCAGUCUAUAAAUCAUCCAAUCAUGUUCAAAGGUGGAGACUCUUCUACUAAACUACAAGAUCAUCAGGAGAGAUCAGAGUCACCUGUUCCCAGCUAUGUGUCCAUGAAGAGGCACCAGUCUAUGGAUCCACCUGUUAUUUUCAGAGAAAAAGACUACUAAACAAAGACAAGUGACUCUGGUCUAUGGAUCAUCCAAUCCUCUGAGUUGGAAACAUUACUACUGGACAAAGGGUCGACCAGGAGAGACCAGACUUGGAUGUUCUUCAUGGGCGAGGAGAGGAGACCUGUCAAAUCUUCCAUGCAUUACAGUCACAGAGAGCCAAAACUGAAUCUGAGUCUAUGGUGGCAGCUAACUCACCUAAGGGCACUGAACCCAGCAGCGGUGGCUCUGGUCCAAACAGCAUGCAGGAGCACUUUGUAAUAUUUGUGUUGUGGAGAAAUGACCAGGCAGGAGACAGGAGUACAGUUAGUUUUUGUUUAGUCAAACCUCUCGAGCUCUACAGUUCCCGGGCACACUAGUGCGCAUGUGCAUUCCCUAUUAGGUGUAGUAACGUAACACUGUCGUAAUACAUCACCGCUUAGUAA